GACGAACGCUGGCGGCGUGCUUAACACAUGCAAGUCGAACGAUGAAGCGCCAGCUUUCUGGCGUGGAUUAGUGGCGAACGGGUGAGUAACACGUGAGUAACCUGCCCCCUACUCUGUGAUAAGCCUGGGAAACUGGGUCUAUUACUGGAGAUGACCAAUCACUGCAUGGUGUGUUGGUGGAAAGAUUUUUUGGUGGGGGAUGGACUCGCGGCUUAUCAGCUUGUUGGUGGGGUAAUGGCAUACCAAGGCGACGACGGGUAGCCGGCCUGAGAGGGCGACCGGCCACACUGGGACUGAGACACGGCCCAGACUCCUACGGGAGGCAGCAGUGGGGAAUAUUGCACAAUGGGCGAAAGCCUGAUGCAGCGACGCCGCGUGAGGGAUGACGGCCUUCGGGUUGUAAACCUCUUUCACCAGGGACGAAGCUAACGUGACGGUACCUGGAGAAGAAGCACCGGCUAACUACGUG
RNAcentral lists this ribosomal RNA (469 nucleotides) under uncultured bacterium. RNAcentral describes it as "partial 16S ribosomal RNA". It matches the Rfam family "Bacterial small subunit ribosomal RNA", at positions 28 to 507 of the family's 1533-position model. The record is from RNAcentral.